AGAACGAACGCUGGCGGCAGGCUUAACACAUGCAAGUCGAACGCCCCGCAAGGGGAGUGGCAGACGGGUGAGUAACGCGUGGGAAUCUACCCAGCUCUACGGAACAACCCAGGGAAACUUGGGCUAAUACCGUAUACGUCCGAUAGGAGAAAGAUUUAUCGGAGUUGGAUGAGCCCGCGUUGGAUUAGCUAGUUGGUGGGGUAAUGGCCUACCAAGGCUACGAUCCAUAGCUGGUCUGAGAGGAUGAUCAGCCACACUGGGACUGAGACACGGCCCAGACUCCUACGGGAGGCAGCAGUGGGGAAUAUUGGACAAAUGGGCGAAAGCCUGAUCCAGCCAUGCCGCGUGAGUGAUGAAGGCCUUAGGGUUGUAAAGCUCUUUCAGUAGGGAAGAUAAUGACGGUACCUACAAGAAGAACGCCCCGACUAACUUCGCGCCAGCACGCCGC
Molecule: ribosomal RNA, 448 nt
Filed under: uncultured soil bacterium
Lineage: Bacteria
Description: bacterial SSU rRNA
Rfam family: Bacterial small subunit ribosomal RNA
Source: RNAcentral